UUCAACAAGGAAACACACUCUCUAAUAAGAUUGAAAGCUUGAUAAAUCCAGAAAGGCAUAACUAGUGAGCGAAAUCAACCAAGAACCAGACUUUGAAGUUCCAAACCAAGAAGAAGAUGACCGACAACUCCAAGAAUCCAUCAACCUCUCCCUCCGCCGCCUUGAUAGCUUCAACAACAUUAUCGUUUCGUUCUGUAUGUUAAUGGUAGAGGCCGAGGAUAAUGAAGGAGCUAGCGGAUGAAAUAGAUGAGUCAAUGGUGCGAUGAGGCAAUGCGAGAAAAUAGAGACUUGGAUGAUGGUGAGCUGGAUUGUGAAGACGCUGUGAGAGUGUUGGAAAUUGGGGAAUGUUUGGACCUUCAUGUCAAGUGACCUUGCGGCAAAGGCUAUCAAAUGCUUUUGUCUGGACAGAAUUGCUGUUACAAGCUCAUUUCGAUUUGGCUCAGCAGUGGCUUCAAAACGUUCAUACCAUCAAUUAUUCAACAUUCAGUUCAUGGGAAUUGUUCAUACGCUCAUUUCGAUUUGUUCUUCUGGAAUUGUAGCGUUUUAUUUCCUUUUAGGUAACAUUCAGUUCCCAUCUAUGAAGAAGGGAUGUACCUGUUGUAUUUGUUUUAUGGAGAGAUUUUGCAGACUCAAAUUCU
Molecule: non-coding RNA, 638 nt
Organism: Theobroma cacao (cacao)
Lineage: Eukaryota; Viridiplantae; Streptophyta; Magnoliopsida; Malvales; Malvaceae
Source: RefSeq, a predicted model, not a curated record